This 200-nucleotide unclassified non-coding RNA is filed under the name Coprinus sp. RNAcentral's name for it is "partial internal transcribed spacer 2". The record is from RNAcentral. Lineage: Eukaryota; Fungi; Basidiomycota; Agaricomycetes; Agaricales; Agaricaceae.
UUAAGUUCAGCGGGUAGUCCUACCUGAUUUGAGGUCAAAUUGUCAAAGGUAUUGUCCUUGCGGACGGUUAGAAGCGAGUCUAAACCCUGUCCACGGCGUAGAUAAUUAUCACACCAAUAGACGGAGCUCAGUACGAACUCGCUAAUGCAUUUCAGGGGAGCAGACCGCGCUGAGGCAGCCUGCACAAACCCCCACAUCCA